RNAcentral lists this ribosomal RNA (464 nucleotides) under Vreelandella stevensii. RNAcentral's name for it is "partial 16S ribosomal RNA". It matches the Rfam family "Bacterial small subunit ribosomal RNA", at positions 338 to 795 of the family's 1533-position model. Lineage: Bacteria; Pseudomonadati; Pseudomonadota; Gammaproteobacteria; Oceanospirillales; Halomonadaceae. The record is from RNAcentral.
CCUACGGUGGCAGCAGUGGGGAAUAUUGGACAAUGGGCGAAAGCCUGAUCCAGCCAUGCCGCGUGUGUGAAGAAGGCCUUCGGGUUGUAAAGCACUUUCAGUGGGGAAGAAAGCCUUGGGGCUAAUACCCUCGAGGAAGGACAUCACCCACAGAAGAAGCACCGGCUAACUCCGUGCCAGCAGCCGCGGUAAUACGGAGGGUGCGAGCGUUAAUCGGAAUUACUGGGCGUAAAGCGCGCGUAGGCGGUCUGAUAAGCCGGUUGUGAAAGCCCCGGGCUCAACCUGGGAACGGCAUCCGGAACUGUCAGGCUAGAGUGCAGGAGAGGAAGGUAGAAUUCCCGGUGUAGCGGUGAAAUGCGUAGAGAUCGGGAGGAAUACCAGUGGCGAAGGCGGCCUUCUGGACUGACACUGACGCUGAGGUGCGAAAGCGUGGGUAGCAAACAGGAUAAGAUACCCCGGUAGUC